This 253-nucleotide ribosomal RNA is filed under the name uncultured bacterium. RNAcentral describes it as "partial 16S ribosomal RNA". It matches the Rfam family "Bacterial small subunit ribosomal RNA", at positions 524 to 776 of the family's 1533-position model. The record is from RNAcentral.
UACGUAGGGUGCAAGCGUUGUCCGGAAUUAUUGGGCGUAAAGAGCUCGUAGGCGGUCUGUCGCGUCGGCUGUGAAAACCCGAGGCUCAACCUCGGGCCUGCAGUCGAUACGGGCAGACUAGAGUUCGGCAGGAGAGACUGGAAUUCCUGGUGUAGCGGUGAAAUGCGCAGAUAUCAGGAGGAACACCGGUGGCGAAGGCGGGUCGCUGGGACGUGACUGACGCUGAGACGCGAAAGCGUGGGGAGCAAACAGG